This is a long non-coding RNA of Triticum aestivum (bread wheat), 3051 nucleotides long. RefSeq lists it as uncharacterized. The record is from RefSeq and is a predicted model, not a curated record. The transcript has 3 exons. Lineage: Eukaryota; Viridiplantae; Streptophyta; Magnoliopsida; Poales; Poaceae.
GGAGGUCUCCAGGUAAACAGAACACGAAACGACUCCUUGGCGAUCGAUCGCGAGAGCGAUCGAUUCCGACCGCGCGUAGCGCACCUCCUGUUCCCUUUCCUUUUCUAGCUCGUUUCCUUUUUUCCUCCGCCGCAGCUGCCCUGCCGCUUCCCUCCCCCCUCCUCGCUGUCGGCUCCUCCCACCGCCGCCGCACUCAUCGCCGUGAACACCGCCGCCGCACUCAUCGCCGUGAACACUGCCGCAUCCCCAUCCACACAGCCCCGCCUAGGGCUGCUGGUACAUUCCCCACCACCACGCCGCCGCACCCGCUUCCCCUACCCACGCCGACUGAGACGGAGGGAGGGAGGACAUGGUCGUUGGGGGCCGCCACACGCCUGGAUCUGGGUGCCAUCGUGCACAUCCGGCCGGAUCUGGCCGCCGCCGCGCUCGUCCGUGCUGGAUCUGGCCGCCACAAUCGAGGAUCGGUGGAGGAGCACAGGUCGCGGCUUGGUUGUGGAGGAGGGAAAGGGAGCACGGGGCGGCACCAUUGCGGCUGGAGCAGGGCUUCGGUUCGAGGGUGGCGGACAUGGCUGCGUCGUGUACGUGGGGGAGAAGGACGACCGUGCACCCCGGCGUUCUCUGCGUGGUGGUAGUCAUGCGCCGUGCCACAUCGAGACUGGGUGUAGCACGAGCGGCCGUUGUGGCUGGGAGGUUAUCUGCUCAUCGUCCAUCUGGAGAGGAAGCAGAAUGACUCAUGACGUUACAUAGUCGCCUACGAGCCAAUGAUGAGCAAACGAGGCAGCGAAUCGUGCAGCUGUAGGCUUGCAGCAGGUUGGCGGGCGAAUGGUCAUAAAGAGAAGAUAACAGGCAUGUCGAGUGCUGUGAGUAUUCCAUUCAUUUAGACAACUACGUUUCCAAGAUCAUCAAGAGAUCAUAGUGUGACAGAUGGGAGAACACACACACACCUCAAUGGAUGACAUAUUAUAAUUACGGAGACUAGUUGUAAGGAUAAUGGAGUGCAAUUUUCUGAUUCAGUGAUCUGCAGGUUUGAAGAACUAAUAUUGUGUAGAAAAUGGCAAUCGAAUUAUUUAGAUUUAAUAAAUUAGAUUUAAGGAUAAAUUAGUUGGUGCAUUUCAUUAUCAAGGACUAAUAGUAUCAAUAUACUAGGAGCAAUAUGUAGCAAACAAUUCAAAAUUUAAGGAAUGAUCCAUCUUACCCCUCAAGAAGAAGGAAUAAUCCAUUUUAAUAUGUUCCUUUAUAUAUGCGGAGAACUUCUUAGUAGUUCGUAUGUCAAGAUGUUUGGAUACUGAAUAAUGGUGCUCUUUCUAAUAAUCAGGCAGACUGUACCCAUUGCCAGUUUAUGUGUGUCUGUAAUUUUUUGUGGUAUAUCGAGCAAUUGUCCUUGAAAAAUUGAAAUAACUGAGAUAUCCACAGAAAUGAAAGCUGCAGCCUGCAGCGAUAUGGUUCCUAAUUCAUAUAACGUAGAGAGGACGUUAGGAGUGGAAUGGUCAUCACUUAUUGUAGCAGUUUUCUGAAAAAGUAACAUCUUUUCAUGCAGUGACAUUAAUGUGGCCAUUGAGAAUUUGAGAAGUAAUUUUCAGGAAAAGUGUAUCUUUCAUCUUGCAUAAAGAUUGCAUCCUUAACUUCUCUUUCUUUCCAGUUCUACUAAUUUUCUGUUUGGUAGGUGGGUACCAUAUCAUUUUUUUUAUUUAGGAAACAUUAUUUAGGGUUAAGUCUUGGUUGGUGAACUGUUCCUCAGCUAUGAACUCUUUUUUACAUUCACCAAAUGUUAUUGGAACUAUGUAUAGUUCCUCUUGAGCGUGAUUAUUCAACAAUUUAGAACUGUAAAUGAUAUGUUCUUGAAGAAUAUAAAGUAAAAGUAGUAUUGUCAUGUACUUUGGUUUAACCUACAGUGUAAUUUUUGUUAACACAUAGUCUGUGUUUCACUAAUGUGAACUAAGACUUUCAUGUACUGUGUAUGACAGCUGCAUUUGUACCGACUGAUUAUAAUGUGCUUUGCUGCAUUUGUACCGACUGAUUAUAAUGUGCUUUGCUUCUCAUCGCACAACUGAUAAUUUUCUGAAAUACUCACUCUAUUUUAAUCAAGGCGUUGCAGGUGUUGUCACUGUAGGAGGUAAGUUUUGCAGCCAAAAUGCACCACUGAUUGCGUCUGGACAAUCGAGGAAUAGCACAAUAAAUUCUUCUUCUUUUCCAUUAACUUGCAGCUUAGGAUUUGGCUAAUAUUUUGCAUCUUAUACUAUUAUAAUUUUGAUGACUAGUUCUAAUAUAGAAUAGCCUCCUUUUGUCUGUAACAGGUACUUGAUUGUUUGAGUAGCCACUCGUAGGGUCUGCUUUUUUCUAGUAGUUUCAUGCCAGGUUCUGUAAAGUUCAUUUGAUAAUUUUGCUUGGUAAAUGAAAAGGUUCAUUUUUUUUCAAUGACUGAACAAAAACUUGACCACCGACAGUUCUAGUCCUUUACUGUUUGGACUCUACGAUAUUAAUUGACUUCCCUAAACAUGUGUAACCGGCCCUGAUUUAUUGCUUAACUUACUUGGGAAGUGAAACACAAACCAAAGGAACUCUGAAUAAGCAUAGCUCAUAGCUCAGCUCUAAAAUUUUACUGUGCCAAUCUUGAGAUAUCUGCAUGGAGUUCUUUUUCUACAUACUUUUAGUCAUUCUGAAUUUUUCAUAUGACCUUCCUGAAAUUGUGUGCACUUUGUUUUUUCUACAUGAAUCCUGUACAAUACAUGUACUUGUCAAUUGACUUAAUUUCCUCUUCAGGUUGUCAACGUUGCUGCAAGGCUGGACAAGUCACCUUUUUGAAACCAUUUUGCUUCACUCGUUUUGAAGACCAUAUACAAGUUUCAUUUUUACUUUAUAUUUUAUUGACCAGAAAGGCUACAAAGUACGGGUGCUAAAUUAGAAUGGACUUUUCAUAUGUAGCCAGUAUGUUGCACAUAUCUUACUUGUGGAAAUGAUUUAUUACAAGGGUUGUAAUAUUAUAAAUGUGAAGGACAUAUGUUGAAUUUUCUAUUGUUGGGUAUGAAUGGAUUUGAAUGCUAAGUUGAGAUA